AUUGAACGCUGGCGGCAGGCCUAACACAUGCAAGUCGAGCGAGUGGCGGACGGGUGAGUAAUGUAUGGGGACUGCCCGAUAGAGGGGGAUAACUACUGGAAACGGUGGCUAAUACCGCAUACUAUCGGAUAACCCAGAUGGGAUUAGCUAGUAGGUGGGGUAAAGGCUCACCUAGGCGACGAUCCAUAGCUGGUCUGAGAGGGUGAUCAGCCACACUGGGACUGAGACACGGCCCAGACUCCUACGGAGGCAGCAGUGGGGAAUAUUCCGCAAUGGACGAAAGCCUGAUGCAGCCAUGCCGCGUGAAUGAAGAAGGCCUUAGGGUUGUAAAGUACUGUCGGCAGAGAAGCGUUACCUAAAGAAGAAGCCCCGGCUAACUACGUGCCAGCAGCCGCGGUAAUUC
Molecule: ribosomal RNA, 403 nt
Filed under: uncultured bacterium
Lineage: Bacteria
Description: partial 16S ribosomal RNA
Rfam family: Bacterial small subunit ribosomal RNA
Source: RNAcentral